This 2940-nucleotide ribosomal RNA is filed under the name Drosophila melanogaster (fruit fly). RNAcentral's name for it is "eukaryotic LSU rRNA". The stretch from base 1772 to 2940 matches the Rfam family "Eukaryotic large subunit ribosomal RNA", at positions 1891 to 3321 of the family's 3401-position model. Lineage: Eukaryota; Metazoa; Arthropoda; Insecta; Diptera; Drosophilidae. The record is from RNAcentral.
GCUUUUUCUCCGGCCGAAGAGCAGUGUUCCGAAGCAGUUCCGGUACUGUGGAGGUACCGGUAACUAGAGGCUUCCCGCAGGGAUCAAUCAGUGGCCCAUUUAUCUGGGACAUACUGAUGGAUGUACUGCUUCAGCGUCUCCAGCCGUAUUGCCAGCUGAGUGCAUACGCGGAUGACUUGCUGCUUCUCGUCGAGGGAAAUUCCCGAGCUGUGCUAGAGGAAAAAGGAGCGCAACUAAUGUCCAUCGUAGAAACGUGGGGAGCGGAAGUUGGCGUUGCCGUCUCGACCAGCAAGACGGUAAUCAUGCUGCUGAAAGGUGCCUUGAGACGUGCGCCUACGGUGAGGUUUGCUGGAGCGAACCUUCCGUAUGUGCGUAGCUGUCGGUACCUUGGCAUCACGGUCAGUGAAGGAAUGAAAUUCCUCACGCACAUAGCUUCGCUUCGCCAGCGGAUGACAGGAGUCGUUGGAGCAUUGGCGCGUGUGCUUCGAGCCGACUGGGGCUUCAGUCCUCGAGCCAGGCGGACCAUAUAUGACGGACUCAUGGCACCUUGUGUGCUGUUUGGUGCCCCGGUAUGGUAUGACACCGCGGAACAAGUAGCUGCCCAGAGGCGACUAGCCUCCUGCCAGAGGCUAAUCCUGCUUGGAUGCCUUUCGGUAUGCCGAACAGUGUCCACAGUGGCACUGCAGGUACUUGGUGGAGCUCCCCCGCUUGAUCUGGCUGCUAAGUUAUUAGCGAUUAAAUACAAGCUAAAACGUGGAUUCCCGCUGGAGGAGAACGACUGCUUUACGGCGAGGACAUUGCGUGUCUUAGCUGGGAGCAGAGGAAGACUCGCCUAGAGGAGUGUUUAAUCCAGAGUUGGCAGAACAGAUGGGACGAUGACAGCGAACCAGGACGGGUGACGCAUAGGUUUAUCCCAUACGUCACUCUUGCCUAUCGGGAUCCAAGUUUUGGAUUCUCGAUGAGGACGUCUUUCCUGCUUACAGGGCACGGGUCGUUCAAUGCAUUUUUGCACGGGAGAGCCCUCAGCGAUACCACUGCUUGCGCAUGUGGAGAUCCAUAUGAGGACUGGAUGCAUAUCUUGUGCGCUUGCCCCCUAUAUGCAGAUCUGCGGGACCUAGAUGGACUUGGAGUGCAGCGCCUUGGCGAAAACUGGAUCUUCGAGGGAAUCCUGGAUGAUCAAGAGAAGACUCAACGGCUGGCAAUGUUUGCGGAAGAAGUGUUCCUGAGGAGGAGGGGCGUUUAGCUCAACAUCUCUGCCGUGUGGUUAGCGGGCGAGAAUACUACCACAGUCCGCUGUUGCUUGUCGUAAGAGACGACUAAUACAGCGAUAGGAUUCCUCUAACCCUGCUUGUCGGAGCAAAAGGGGGAGGCCCACCGAGCCUCUUUUCGGUACCACGGGUUGAGCAGCUAUCCAAGACUGCUCAUUGAGGUAGGCCCCCUGGUGGGAGUAUCGUGGUGGCUGUGGUUGGUACCCAUAUCGCGGGUAGAGCCUUCAUGCUCGACGUUUGAGUUACGGUGCUAGUUGCGCAAAACUCGGGUGCUGAGACCCAGAGAUCAGUAGAGAUUUUAGGUAGAUCUCGCUCCUCAGCAAGGGGGAGUGCUUGCCCGGCAAGCAAGUACUCGAAUUGCUACCGGGGUGGUCGCUAUGUACAUAGCUAUAGCUUCUAGUCCGGGACGCUUGUCUGGCGUAUCCAGACACAUGCACCAUAUGCUCACUUGUGGGUGUAUAGGGUGCCGUGGUUGUAAUCCCUUCAGUGUGGAACACGCCACGUAAAAUAAGUUCGGAGGGAUCCGAAAAGCAUACAUUGUCCCUAUCUACUAUCUAGCGAAACCACAGCCAAGGGAACGGGCUUGGAAUAAUUAGCGGGGAAAGAAGACCCUUUUGAGCUUGACUCUAAUCUGGCAGUGUAAGGAGACAUAAGAGGUGUAGAAUAAGUGGGAGAUAUUAGACCUCGGUUUGGUAUCGUCAAUGAAAUACCACUACUCUUAUUGUUUCCUUACUUACUUGAUUAAAUGGAACGUGUAUCAUUUCCUAGCCAUUAUACGGAUAUAUUUAUUAUAUCUUAUGGUAUUGGGUUUUGAUGCAAGCUUCUUGAUCAAAGUAUCACGAGUUUGUUAUAUAAUCGCAAACAAAUUCUUUAAUAAAACGAUGCAUUUAUGUAUUUUUGAUUUGAAAAUUUGGUAUAACUCCAAUUACUCAGGUAUGAUCCGAUUCAAGGACAUUGCCAGGUAGGGAGUUUGACUGGGGCGGUACAUCUCUCAAAUAAUAACGGAGGUGUCCCAAGGCCAGCUCAGUGCGGACAGAAACCACACAUAGAGCAAAAGGGCAAAUGCUGACUUGAUCUCGGUGUUCAGUACACACAGGGACAGCAAAAGCUCGGCCUAUCGAUCCUUUUGGUUUAAAGAGUUUUUAACAAGAGGUGUCAGAAAAGUUACCAUAGGGAUAACUGGCUUGUGGCGGCCAAGCGUUCAUAGCGACGUCGCUUUUUGAUCCUUCGAUGUCGGCUCUUCCUAUCAUUGUGAAGCAAAAUUCACCAAGCGUUGGAUUGUUCACCCAUGCAAGGGAACGUGAGCUGGGUUUAGACCGUCGUGAGACAGGUUAGUUUUACCCUACUAAUGACAAAACGUUGUUGCGACAGCAUUCCUGCGUAGUACGAGAGGAACCGCAGGUACGGACCAAUGGCACAAUACUUGUUCGAGCGAACAGUGGUAUGACGCUACGUCCGUUGGAUUAUGCCUGAACGCCUCUAAGGUCGUAUCCGUGCUGGACUGCAAUGAUAAAUAAGGGCAUUUGCAUUGUAUGGCUUCUAAACCAUUUAAAGUUUAUAAUUUACUUUAUAAACGACAAUGGAUGUGAUGCCAAUGUAAUUUGUAACAUAGUAAAUUGGGAGGAUCUUCGAUCACCUGAUGCCGCGCUAGUUACAUAUAAAAGCAUUAUUU